Long non-coding RNA from Lingula anatina, 585 nucleotides. RefSeq lists it as uncharacterized. NCBI's taxonomy places the organism in Eukaryota, Metazoa, Brachiopoda, Lingulata, Lingulida, Lingulidae. The record is from RefSeq and is a predicted model, not a curated record.
GGGGCUAUACGCGGAGCCGUUUGUCCUAAAGAGGGCGCUGGGGUAAUAGUGGUUAUUGAAGAUAGCCUCGUUUUCGCGUCCGUGUAGAAAUGGCUUUAGAGUAUGGGAAGCAAACGGUGGCGAAGUUAAAACUUCAACUAGUUGAAAGAGGAGCCUCCACUAGAGGAAAGAAACAGGAUUUGGUAGAAAGGUCACAGAGAAGGAAGUGUCAGAACUUGAAAACAGAACUAGAGGCCAAAGUAAAAGUCGAGUAUGGCAUGAAGAAAGAUCAUGGAGAAUAACAGCAUCGAGGUUUGGUGAUAUUUUGAACGCAACCGAAAGACAAGACAAGGACAAAUUAUGCCAGUCACUGUUGUUUAACCAUGAAAUCAAGACUCCAUAUUUCUUAAAAUUUACAGACAUAUAGUCGGCAACAAUGUCACGUUCUGGCCAAGUGUUCAUUUCACUGAGCUGGAAAAACAAAGUUGAUCCAUGUGCUUAUUAUUUCUGACACCGUUGUUACCGAUAGCUUGAAACGGAGAGCUAAAUAAUCGUCAAAGGCUCGUCUCAGUUUCAUAAUGAUCAAAAAACAUUGGCCCUGGUGAC